This 26-nucleotide transfer RNA is filed under the name Aegilops tauschii. RNAcentral describes it as "partial tRNA-Cys". The record is from RNAcentral. Lineage: Eukaryota; Viridiplantae; Streptophyta; Magnoliopsida; Poales; Poaceae.
GGCGGCAUGGCCAAGCGGUAAGGCAG